UAAGCAGACUAUGUGACAGCAUGAACGUUUUCAGUUCAUGAGGAAAGUCCGGGCAUCAUAAAGCAAGGUAGCUGUUAACGACAGCCGAGGGCGACCUUAGGGCAAGUGCAACAGAGAUAUACUGCCUGUUUUUACAGGUAAUGGUGGAAAGGCGAGGUAAGAGCUCACCAGUGUGCAGGAGACUGUAUAGCUAUGUAAACCCUACCUGAUGCAACGUCUAUUGGUGCUUCAUAUCUUAACGUUAGCUUGACGGAUAUGAAGUAAUGACGGCUGGAGCUUACCGGCGACGGUAAGAGUAGAUAAAUUGUCACACAAGACAGAACCCGGCUUAUCGGUCUGGUUACUUU
Molecule: RNase P RNA, 347 nt
Filed under: Ruminococcus sp.
Lineage: Bacteria; Bacillati; Bacillota; Clostridia; Eubacteriales; Oscillospiraceae
Description: RNase P RNA component class A
Rfam family: Bacterial RNase P class A
About the family: Ribonuclease P (RNase P) is a ubiquitous endoribonuclease, found in archaea, bacteria and eukarya as well as chloroplasts and mitochondria. Its best characterised activity is the generation of mature 5'-ends of tRNAs by cleaving the 5'-leader elements of precursor-tRNAs.
Source: RNAcentral